GCCGAAGUGGCGGAACUGGCAUACGCGCACGACUCAAACUCGUGUCCCCUUGCGGGGAUGAGGGUUCAAUUCCCUCCUUCGGCAC
RNAcentral lists this transfer RNA (85 nucleotides) under Chloroflexota bacterium. Its description in RNAcentral is "tRNA-Leu". It matches the Rfam family "tRNA". From Rfam's summary of the family: Transfer RNA (tRNA) molecules are approximately 80 nucleotides in length. RNAcentral also lists the same sequence under 2 other names. Lineage: Bacteria; Bacillati; Chloroflexota. The record is from RNAcentral.